GGCCGGAACGGCUCGGUGUUCAUGGGGAGUUGGCCGUGUAUCAGCCAGCGGGCGAUGAGGAGUCCGGUCGCCGGUGCCAGGCCGAUUCCGGCGCC
This 95-nucleotide transfer RNA is filed under the name Streptomyces purpureus. Its description in RNAcentral is "tRNA-Tyr". The record is from RNAcentral. Lineage: Bacteria; Bacillati; Actinomycetota; Actinomycetes; Kitasatosporales; Streptomycetaceae.